AUUGAACGCUGGCGGCAUGCCUUACACAUGCAAGUCGAACGGCAGCGGGCCUUCGGGUGCCGGCGAGUGGCGAACGGGUGAGUAAUGCAUCGGAACGUGCCAUUGAGUGGGGGAUAACGUAGCGAAAGUUACGCUAAUACCGCAUAUUCUGUGAGCAGGAAAGCAGGGGACCGCAAGGCCUUGCGCUCUUUGAGCGGCCGAUGUCAGAUUAGCUAGUUGGUGAGGUAAAGGCGUUACCAAGGCGACGAUCUGUAGCGGGUCUGAGAGGAUGAUCCGCCACACUGGAACUGAGACACGGUCCAGACUCCUACGGGAGGCAGCAGUGGGGAAUUUUGGGACAAUGGGCGCAAGCCUGAGUCCAGCCAUGCCGCGUGAGUGAAGAAGG
This 385-nucleotide ribosomal RNA is filed under the name uncultured bacterium. Its description in RNAcentral is "bacterial SSU rRNA". It matches the Rfam family "Bacterial small subunit ribosomal RNA", at positions 30 to 414 of the family's 1533-position model. The record is from RNAcentral.